UACGGGGGGGGCAAGCGUUGUUCGGAAUUACUGGGCGUAAAGGGCGCGUAGGUGGCGGGACAAGCGUGCGGUGAAAGCCUGGGGCUCAACCCCGGGUCGGCCGUGCGAACUGUUUUGCUUGAGCACUGUAGAGGCAGGCGGAAUUCCGGGUGUAGCGGUGGAAUGCGUAGAGAUCCGGAAGAACACCGGUGGCGAAGGCGGCCUGCUGGGCAGUAGCUGACACUGAGGCGCGACAGCGUGGGGAGCAAACAGG
This 253-nucleotide ribosomal RNA is filed under the name uncultured bacterium. RNAcentral's name for it is "partial 16S ribosomal RNA". It matches the Rfam family "Bacterial small subunit ribosomal RNA", at positions 524 to 776 of the family's 1533-position model. The record is from RNAcentral.